RNAcentral lists this unclassified non-coding RNA (300 nucleotides) under uncultured Hypocreales. RNAcentral describes it as "sequence contains 5.8S rRNA gene, ITS2". The stretch from base 1 to 73 matches the Rfam family "5.8S ribosomal RNA", at positions 82 to 154 of the family's 154-position model. Lineage: Eukaryota; Fungi; Ascomycota; Sordariomycetes; Hypocreales. The record is from RNAcentral.
GGGUGAGUCAUCGAAUCUUUGAACGCACAUUGCGCCCGCUGGAACUCCGGCGGGCACGCCUGUCCGAGCGUCAUUUCAACCCUCAGGCCCCCCUUCGCGGGCGGGCCUGGUGUUGGGGCCCGGCCGCUACCCUGCGGCCGUCCCCUAAAUUCAGUGGCGGCCUCGCCGUGAUCCCUUGCGUAGUAAUGCACCUCGCACCGGAGAGCGCCGUGGCCACGCCGUAAAACCCCCAAUUUUCAAUGGUUGACCUCGGAUCAGGUGGGAAUACCCGCUGAACUUAAGCAUAUCAAUAAGCGGAGG